GAGAUGAUAGGAUGGAAGAGAGCGAAGGUUGCGACGGCGCAAUACCAUCUGAGUAGGGAAAGAGUGAGUAGUGUUGGAGGAGAGCUAGAGGGAAAAGGAUACAAGGUAGUGGUCGGAGACUUGGAGGGGAGUUGCAGUGAGAUUAGUAGAAGAACAGUAUCUAGUAAAGAUGAGGUCAAGCGUAUUGCCUACCUUGUGAGUAGGGGGGGAUGGUGAGAGGGUGAGGUCAAAAGAGGAGAGGAGUGGAAAGAAGGAGGCAGAGAGAAAUGAGUCAAAGGUAGGGAGGUUAAAGUCACCCAGAAUUGUGAGGGGUGAGCCAUCCUCAGGAAAGGAACUUAUCAAGGCGUCAAGCUCAUUGAUGAACUCUCCAAGGGAACCUGGAGGGCGAUAAAUGAUAAGGAUGUUAAGCUUGAAUGGGCUAGUGACUGUGACAGCAUGGAAUUCAAAGGAGGAGAUAGACAGAUGGGUCAGGGGAGAAAGAGAGAAUGUCCACUUGGGAGAGAUGAGGAUUCCAGUGCCACCACCCCGCUGACCAGAUGCUCUCGGAGUAUGCGAGAACAUGUGGUCAGACGAGGAGAGAGCAGUAGGAGUAGCAGUGUUUUCUGUGGUAAUCCAUGUUUCCGUCAGCGCCAAGAAGUCGAAGGACUGGAGGGUAGCAUAGGCUGAGAUGAAAUCUGCCUUGUUGGCCGCAGACCGGCAGUUCCAGAGGCUGCCGGAGACCUGGAAUUCCACGUGGGUCGUGCGCGCUGGGACCAUCAGGUUAGAGUGGCAGCGGCCAUGCUGUGUGAAGCGUUUGUGUGGCCUGUGCAGAGAGGAGAGAACAGGGAUAGACACAUAGUUGACAGGCUACAGGAGAGGCUACGCUAAUGCAAAGGAGAUUGGAAUGAAAAUUAACGAAACAACUGGGGAAGCGAGAGAGCAGGGCCUCCCUCACUAACCAUUCACUGAAACACUCAAAUAUAACUUUUCCAACUUCCACUUUAGAAAUUUUAAUUGAUGUAAACUACAGUGGUUCAAUGUUUACAGGAAUAGGCUCAAACUUAGUUUAUUCAGCUAGAUAACUUGGUACAAUAUUCUUCCGUGAAACUCACCCAGUGCACCGUAUCCUAUGACGCCGUAGCUAACUAGCAUGCUAGCAUCCAAUAACACACGGUUAGCACCAAUACUUGGUUACAACAAACUACCAAUGGAUCAUUCGUGUCCGUGUCUAGUUCCUUUCAUAACGCAGAAGUAAUUAAACGUUGAAUAGCUAACACAAGUUCAGUCGUGCUAGCUACACAAGUGGACUACACAACUCGAAAGUUCAGAAAGUUAAGCUUACGUUGCAAAAAUCUUAUUGACUAAAAAUGAUACAGUACUGCUAGCUGGUAGAGUUGGCUAGCUAGCAGUGGCUGCGUUUACCUUUAUCUUUUAUCUUUGAUACAGAGACAACUAUGUAGCUAGCUAACAUUACACUAAUCAAAACGUUCCGUUGUUGGCAAUCACAGAGGUCAGACGUUUCUUGUAGUUGGCCACCAGGUUUGCACACAUCUCAGGAGGGAUUUUGUCCCACUCCUCUGUGCAGAUCUUCUCCAAGUCAUCAAGGUUGAGGCUGACGUUUGGCAACUCGAACCUUCAGCUCCCUCCACAGAUAUUCUAUGGGAUUAAGGUCUGGAGACUGGCUAGGCCACUCCAGGACCUUAAUGUGCUUCUUCUUGAGCUACUCCUUUGUUGCCUUGGUCGUGUGUUUUGGGUCGUUGUCAUGCUGGAAUACCCAUCCACGACCCAUUUUCAAUGCCCUGGCUGAGGGAAGGAGGUUCGCACCCAAGAUUUGAUGGUACAUGGCCCCGUCCAUCGUCCCUUUGAUGCGGUGAAGUUGUCCUGUCCCCUUAGCAGAAAAACACCCCCAAAGCAUAAUGUUUCCACCUCCAUGUUUGACGGUGGAGAUGGUGUUCUUGGGGUCAUAGCCAGCAUUCCUCCUCCUCCAAACACGGCGAGUUGAGUUGAUGACAAAGAGCUCCAUUUUGGUCUCAUCUGACCAGUUGUUCUCUGAAUCAUUCAGAUGUUCAUUGGCAAACUUUAGACGGGCAUGUAUAUGUAUUCUUGAGCAGGGGGACCUUGCGGGCGCUGCAGGAUUUCAGUCCUUCACGGCGUAGUGUGUUACCAAUUGUUUUCUUGGUGACAAUAGUCCCAGCUGCCUUGAGAUCAUUGACAAGAUCCUCCCGUGUAGUUCUGGGCUGAUUCCUCACCGUUCUCAUGAUCAUUGCAACCCCACGAGGUGAGAUCUUGCAUGGAGCCCCAGGCCGAGGGAUAUUGACAGUUCUUUUGUGUUUCUUCCAUUUGCGAAUAAUCGCACGAAAUGUUGUCAUCUUCUCACCAAGCUGCUUGGCAAUGGUCUUGUAGCCCAUUCCAGCCUUGUGUAGGUCUACAAUCUUGUCCCUGACAUCCUUGGAGAGCUCUUUGGUCUUGGCCAUGGUGGAGAGUUUGGAAUCUGAUUGAUUGAUUGCUUCUGUGGACAUGUGUCUUUUUUACAGGUAACAAGCUGAGGUUUGGAGCACUCCCUUUAAGAGUGUGCUCCUAAUCUCAGCUCGUUACCUGUAUAAAAGACACCUGGGAGCCAGAAAUCUUUCUGAUUUGAGAGGGGGUCAACUACUUAUUUCCCUCAUUAAAAUGCAAAUCAAUUUAUAACAUUUUUGCCAUGCGUUUUUCUGGAUAUUUUUGUUGUUAUUCUGUCUCUCACUGUUCAAAUAAACCUACCAUUAAAAUUAUAGACUGAUCCUUUUUUUAUCAGUGGGCAAACAUACAAAAUCAGCAGGGUAUCAAAUACUUUUUCCCCCCACUGUAGUUUCUGUCAGACGAUAGUUAUGAGCACUUGUUACGUCAAUUUCUUUCUCAGUUUGUGCUAGGACAAAUGUAGCCUGCAUUUUCCAAGUUGGAUGAUUGUGUUAUGCUGUAGCUACUUCUGUGAAUGUCUGAACAUUGCAUCCAAAAAUAAACUGGUCACAUUCUGGACAUAACUUUGUAAGGACUGUCUUUGUGCAAAAUGUUUCUGUGAAAAAAGUGUGGCCAGCUCAAAUGCUGAUUGUUGCAUCAACCGAAAGUUGACGUUCUAACCACACCGGUUUGAGCGUAAGCUGCAGGGACCACUGUAGAAUAAUCACACCAGUUUGUUGGUAUGUGUGAAAAGGUCAAGGCAUGAAGGUCAGUAAAUGCGGAAAAUGUCAAGAAUUUUGCAAGUUUCUUCAAGUGCAGUCGCAAAAACCAGUGCAGUCCCAAAAACCAGCUAUGAUGAAACUGGCUCUCAUGAGGACUGCCACAGGAAAGGAACACCCAGAAUUACCUCUGUUGCAGAGGAUAUGGUCAUUAGAGUUAACUGCACCUCAGAUUGCAGCCCAAAUCAAUGCUUCACAGAGUGCAAGUAACAGACACAUCUUGAAAGGACAACAGGUGCAGGCACUUACCUGAAAAAUAUAAAGAUCUCUUCAAUAUCAGAAAAUGGACACGAUUCAACAGAUAUCAACGGACAGCCGUUACAAUAGACAUCCUGGUUGAGAAUGAAACGACUGAACAAAUGAACAACGAAACAGCACAGCAAGUAUACAGACAAGGAGGCAUAUACCUACACCUCUGAUGAAUAUAACAGGAAACCUGCUCGAUCACCAUUCGCUACAAAAUCAUUCUGGCUAUGGAUACGGAGAACAUCAACACGCCAGAGGAUAUAUCCAUUGGACUUGGGGCUCUGCUGGGAGUUUACCUCAUAUUUUGAUUUUUUUUUUUAUUCUGCUUUGCUACUAAAAUCAUAACAAACACUAAGAACUAAAAGAUUGUGUUAUUAUUAUGCAUAUUAUUAUGAAUAAUAAUAACUGGGCUGGUGGGGUAUUUAAAACAUUACUCAAAUGUUCUUCAAAAGGUUCUUUGAGGAUCCAUUAAAAAGGGUUCUUUGAAUAACUUUUUUAAAGGGUUCUUCAAAGAACUUAUAGGGGUUCCCCAACAGUUUCAAUUUGAAGAAUGCCUAAAGGAUACUCCAGGAACCUUUUCUUGUAGGCAAACUGAAAUCUUAUGAGAAAUAUGUUUGAUUGUUUUCACAGCUUUUUAUUUCUUUAAAACCAGUCAAAUGGUUGUUUGGAACUUUUUUUCUCCACCCACUGUGAAAACAUUGUUCCGCUGUCUCUGUGAAUGGGCAUGAGUUAACCCUGCAAUUUUUGUAAAUGUGUAAUUGGUGCUACUGUUGAUUAAUUGCAUUUUGACAUAGGCCUACGCGCCUGUUGAAGGGAUUGAAUUAGGCUAAUUUAUUCAUGUUAGACAGGGUUCUUGUUUUGUCUUUCAAUUAUUUUUUGUAAAAAAUGUACAGUGUUUAUUAUUAUAACACUUAACUUACCUGUUUACUUAGCCUAAAACCAGAGAGGAAGAGGCGAUUUAAAUUACACAAGCUUCCCCAGGCCUUUAUAACCUAUCGUCAAGUUAUAACAAGGCAAAGAAUAUGCUUAUCAGCGAAGAGUGGGCAUCAUUCCAGGGGAGCUGUCAUGGCUGCGCACAGCAGAAAUGUCACUGAAAUAUUCUAGUUUAUGCACAUGUAUUCAAAUAAAAUAUGCCUUGUUAUAAGUUGAUAAGCAAAUGGGCAGCAUCAUGCACAUGCCAGUCCUCUCUAGAAUACACAUGUUGUCACGUCCUGACCAGUAAAGGGGUCAUUUGUCAUUUUAGUAUGGUCAGGGCGUGGUAGGUGGUGUUGUUUUGGGGUUGGUUUGUUUAGAGGGGAUUGGUUCUAGUUUUCAUUUUCUAUGUUUAUUUUCUGUGUGGCCGAGUAUGGUUUCCAAUCAGAGGCAGGUGUCUUUCGUUGUCUCUGAUUGGAAGCCAUACUUAGGCAGCCCUUUUUUCCUUUGGGUUUGUGGGUGGUUGUUUUUUGUAUUAGUCUGUUACCUUACGGAACUGUGUCGUUUUGUUAUUUUUUGUUUAAGUGUUCACGUUACUCUAAUAAACAAAGAUAAG
Molecule: long non-coding RNA, 4965 nt
Filed under: Salmo salar (Atlantic salmon)
Lineage: Eukaryota; Metazoa; Chordata; Actinopteri; Salmoniformes; Salmonidae
Description: lncRNA (ENSSSAG00000102411.1)
Source: RNAcentral